Molecule: long non-coding RNA, 1516 nt
Organism: Erinaceus europaeus (western European hedgehog)
Lineage: Eukaryota; Metazoa; Chordata; Mammalia; Eulipotyphla; Erinaceidae
Exons: 2
Source: RefSeq, a predicted model, not a curated record
CCAGGAUCCUUAUGCUGGUCCUUGCACUUUGCACCAUGUGCGCUUUACCGCUUUGCUACCGCCUGGCUCCUAUCAUUGCUGUUAUUAUUACUGUUGUUACUGCUAUCAUUGUUGUUGGAUAGGACAGAGAGAAACUGAGAGAGAAGACAGAGAGGGGUAGAGAAAGAUAAGACACCUGCAGACCUGCUUCACAGACCUCCCCUGCAGGUGGGGAGCCAGAGGCUUGAACAGGAAUCCUUGUGCUCAUCUUUGCGCUUCAUGCCAUGUGUGCUUAACCCACUGCACUACUGCCUGGCCGCCUACAAUGAGUUUAUUAUAAUGACUAUUUUAUUUUUGUAUAUUCUUCUAGACUUUGCAACAUGUUUCCUUCCAUCUGUAUAGGAAAUUGUUGUAAUAUGAAGGUGAUGUGACAAUUUUUAUACAUUACUUUGUGGCCUAACAUUUAGGAUAGUCCUAUGUGCUCUUAGGACUUUAAAUACAUUAUUUUAAUUUGCAUUUCCUCUUUAUCAUUAAGGUAAAACACGCAUGUUCUCAUUUCAGUCAUCAAUGAGAUUAUGGCUUCUAGUCAUUACACAGUGUUUUCUAUACCUUACUACUGGGUUGCUGAACAAAAAAAUAUGUCAUGACCUUUUGAACAACUUAGUAUAAUUAAAACUGCUUUAAAAAAGAAAUUCCCCCCCAAAACUAAACUGUGUUGGGCUGUUAAUUUAAGAGAAAGAAAACUGUAACAGCAAUGAUGUCUGUUGUCUGGCAGUUGUACCUUACCUCAUUAACGUUGAUUUUUGACUUUGCGGAAGAUUCUAAAAAGGCACAGUUACACCACUGUCUUGCUAAAUUCUGACCCUGUUCUUUGCCAACUACUCGCUCAUCUUCCAGAUCACAUUUAUUACCAACCAAAAUCAUUGGAACCUGUGAAAAGGGGGGAAAAAAACAAAUAACAAAAGAUGAGCAUAAACAUAGUUGUUAAUUAGCAUCUUCUUAUAAGCAAGCAGUUAUCUGCCAGUAAGUUAAGGCUGUGAGCUUCACCAAGCACUUAAAUAUCUGUAUGUGGGUGUUGGAGGAAAUAAGGCAGAUGAAGGCAAAGACAGAAAAAAACAUGCAAGAGAUUUGCCAAACUAUUUAAAAAAUAGAUAAUCCCAAAAUUAUCUAUUUUGGAAUAUUAUUUGUAACUGAAUUAUGUGGAAUAUUAUUUGUAGCUGAAUUCUCUCUGUGUGUGUGUGUAAACACCACCCUAAAGGAGACUUCUGUAACACAGAGAAAUACUCACUGAAUCUAUCUGCAAUUUAAAUGCUUCAUCUCACAACAAAUACCACAAGAUGUGGCAAAAUCAACACCAUAUCUAAUUCUACAUUUGACAUAUAAAUCUGAAGGCAGGUCUAAGUGAAUUGUUAAGGAGAAUUGGCAACAACAACAAAGGUGCAAUGAAGUGGUCCUUCUCUAUACCAACAAGGCUUGCCUACAGUCAUCCAUAACUUCAUACUUCCAAUAAAAUAGGUUGCUAACAAACAGUAUAAAA